UACGUAGGGGGCAAGCGUUAUCCGGAUUUACUGGGUGUAAAGGGAGCGUAGACGGCAGGGCAAGUCUGGAGUGAAAGGCAGGGGCCCAACCCCUGGACUGCUCUGGAAACUGCCCGGCUGGAGUGCAGGAGAGGUAAGUGGAAUUCCUAGUGUAGCGGUGAAAUGCGUAGAUAUUAGGAGGAACACCAGUGGCGAAGGCGGCUUACUGGACUGUAACUGACGUUGAGGCUCGAAAGCGUGGGGAGCAAACAGG
Molecule: ribosomal RNA, 253 nt
Filed under: uncultured bacterium
Lineage: Bacteria
Description: partial 16S ribosomal RNA
Rfam family: Bacterial small subunit ribosomal RNA
Source: RNAcentral